GGAACGAGGAUGACCCAGAGCCUAAUUUUCAACGAGUGGUCACUCGUUGAAAAUUAGGCUCUGGGUCAUCCUCGUUCCC
Molecule: microRNA precursor, 79 nt
Filed under: Paramuricea clavata
Lineage: Eukaryota; Metazoa; Cnidaria; Anthozoa; Malacalcyonacea; Plexauridae
Source: RNAcentral